UAUAUCUAUAAAUCUAUAACGGGGAGACGCCAUCAUUCAAACGCCACCAUCCGCAUGUCGUUUCGAGUACAAAGCUUCAGAACUCUAAUGACGAGCUCGAGAUUAUGAAGCCCAUGAUUCGUCAAGAAUUUGUUGCCCACUUAAGAAGGUAUUUACAAUGGCAAAAGGGAAGCUUAUACUAAUCUGUCAAGCCAGAGAGAGUUGCAUUUGUGACAAAUGAUGAUGGAACAAGGGAAGCCAAUGCAUCAAAUUUCACUUCUGAGUUCUGAGACGCUAUUAACCUUACCCUCUUCGGCUUUGGUUUCGUUUUACUGUCGAUAGUUUAUUUCUAUAGCACAUUGAUCUUUAACUUUAUGUAAAGACAGAAAAUAAACGGUCAAGUUAGUGUAGUUAUGUGAGGAUCUAUUGUUUGCACGAAUAAGAAAUUGUUGAGAAGUUGAAUUUCUGGCAUUAAU
Erigeron canadensis is the source of this 455-nucleotide long non-coding RNA. RefSeq lists it as uncharacterized. The record is from RefSeq and is a predicted model, not a curated record. The transcript has 3 exons. Lineage: Eukaryota; Viridiplantae; Streptophyta; Magnoliopsida; Asterales; Asteraceae.